Passer domesticus (house sparrow) is the source of this 1304-nucleotide long non-coding RNA. RefSeq lists it as uncharacterized. The transcript has 3 exons. The record is from RefSeq and is a predicted model, not a curated record. Lineage: Eukaryota; Metazoa; Chordata; Aves; Passeriformes; Passeridae.
GAGGCACCCCAGGACACCACCGGCCCUCCUGGCCACAGGAAUACACGGCCAGCUCAUGGUCAACUUGCCAUCCAAGACUCUCAGGCCCUUCUGCACAGAGCUGCUCUCUGGGUGUCGAGGUCCUGCUGAAUGUCAGCACAGCCUUCAGGUGCAUCAGGAACUCCUCUAAUUUAAUAUCAUCAGAAAACUUCUAUCCCUACAUCCAGAAAGCUGAUAAACAAUUUGAAUAAGACUGGGGGAAAAAAAUUAAAAGUGAAAAUGUCAAGGUUUUCCUAAAAGUGCUGAAUUCACUCAAGAGGUGCCUGAAUCAUCAUGACUAUAUGAAGGAGAGCCUAGGAGAUUUCAAGAUGCUAACAAGGGUCAGGCUCCUUGUCUUCUUGAAAUCUGCACCCUGUGAUGAAAUUGUCACUUUCCCCGUGUGUUAAUAUCAUCAAUGUGAAUGAUAAACUUCAUCUUGAGGAGCAAGAUGGGACUAUGUUUAUCUGCUUAUUUAGAUAUAUCACUGAAUCAUAGAAUGUUUUUGUUUGGAAGGGAGCUUAAAGAUUAUUUCAUUUCAAUGGGCUCCCAUGUGCAGGAACACUGUCCAAUAUAUAGCAGUUUAGAAUCCUAUCAGAAAAUUCUUGUUCCCAUAGAAUUAAUUGGAGUCUUGCCACUGAGUUCAGUGUAGCCAGAAUUUCAUCAAGGGGUUUUAAUAGGCCUGACUACCCGAAAAAAUAAAGCAAGGAGGGUUUGGCUGUCAGGGACUUAUGCCAGAUUUCACAGUCAGCAAUAUAAGCCAAAUCAACUAACUGAGAGUACUGUUCUGAAACCACAAACUUUUUCCUUCAAAGCCAAAUAUACAGGAAGUUUUGAUAACAAAAGGGCAGUAUGUAGAUGGACAACAGAGGAAAUGGUAAGAAAAAAAUAUAUUUAGUUAGCUAUUUUGAGAUCUCUAACAUUUAGAAUGUCAAUAUUUUUCAUCUUUUAAUUUCUUUCACAUACUACUUUGAUUACAUUUAAUUGGACUUGGACUAGAGUUGUGGGGUUUGGUAUUUUUUGGGUUUGGGUGGGGUUUUUUCUGUUCAUUUUCUUUUUAAAAAAAACAGGUGGAAAGUGAAAAAAUAUCUUUGAAGCUCAAAUCAGUUUUAAAAUGCCUGAAACUCCUUAAUAUUAAAAACUAUUUUAUAAAAUCAUUUAAAUAUGUCUAAUGCUUACUGUUUCAGAUGUCAAUUUUUUUACCAGAAAUUAAAUUUUCUGCUUUUACUGUGAAUUUUUUUUUCUAGCUUAUUGAAUUGCAGGAGAGCUGACUGUUUGGUGGGAGUACU